Molecule: ribosomal RNA, 507 nt
Filed under: uncultured bacterium
Lineage: Bacteria
Description: bacterial SSU rRNA
Rfam family: Bacterial small subunit ribosomal RNA
Source: RNAcentral
AAUGAACGCUGGCGGCGUGCCUAACACAUGCAAGUCGUACGAGAAAUCCCGAGCUUGCUUGGGAGAGUAAAGUGGCGCACGGGUGAGUAACGCGUGGGUAACCCACCCUCGAAUCGGGGAUAACUCCGCGAAAGCGGUGCUAAUACCGGAUAAGACCACAUUCCGUUCGCGGAAAGAGGUAAAAGCUGACCUCUCCAUGGAAGUUAGCGUUUAAGGACGGGCCCGCGUCCUAUCAGCUUGUUGGUGGGGUAAUGGCCUACCAAGGCAGCGACGGGUAGCUGGUCUGAGAGGAUGAUCAGCCACACUGGAACUGGAACACGGUCCAGACUCCUACGGGAGGCAGCAGUGAGGAAUUUUGCGCAAUGGGGGAAACCCUGACGCAGCAACGCCGCGUGGGUGAAGAAGGCUUUCGGGUCGUAAAGCCCUGUCAGGUGGGAAGAAACUCUUCAGUACUAAUAAUGCUGAAGCCUGACGGUACCACCAGAGGAAGCACCGGCCAACUCCGUG